GAGGGUAUAGCUCAGUGGUAGAGCAUUCGACUGUAGAUCGAAAGAUCCCCAGUUCAAACCUGGGUGUCUCCU
Trichonephila clavipes is the source of this 72-nucleotide non-coding RNA. The record is from the annotation of a GenBank genome assembly. Lineage: Eukaryota; Metazoa; Arthropoda; Arachnida; Araneae; Nephilidae.